UACGAAGGGGGCUAGCGUUGCUCGGAAUCACUAGGCGUAAAGCGCACGUAGGCGGACUCUUAAGUCGGUGGUGAAAUCCUGGAGCUCAACUCCAGAACUGCCUUCGAUACUGAGAGUCUCGAGUCCGAGAGAGGUGAGUGGAACUGCGAGUGUAGAGGUGAAAUUCGUAGAUAUUCGCAAGAACACCAGUGGCGAAGGCGGCUCACUGGCUCGGUACUGACGCUGAGGUGCGAAAGCGUGGGGAGCAAACAGG
This 253-nucleotide ribosomal RNA is filed under the name uncultured bacterium. RNAcentral describes it as "partial 16S ribosomal RNA". It matches the Rfam family "Bacterial small subunit ribosomal RNA", at positions 524 to 776 of the family's 1533-position model. The record is from RNAcentral.